GGGGGCGAAAUAGGGCUCGACAGGAAGGAAGGCAGGGAUAAGGUUGCCUGUAGAGUUUGUCGUGUGCUCUUUAAAACACGGCAACAAAUAACUGCCAAUACGGCAAACGCUCUGGCUGCAUAAAUAAUGCAGUCACCCGUCCAUAAAGGGUCUUCCUCGCCCUUGUGGCGCGGGUCGGCAAAGAGGAGAUUCUCUUCAGGGUUUACCUUUAUCCUUGAGGGGAAUUAACAAAAAGGUUGCGGAAGGCAGACGGUGUCCGGUGCUGGAUGUCUUCUUAAGAAUAAAACACUGGAAUACACAGGUAGAUACCUUAUCAAUGCCCUUUCUGGACGCGGGGGCAGUACCCGCCGCCUCCACCA
This 359-nucleotide transfer-messenger RNA is filed under the name bacterium. It matches the Rfam family "transfer-messenger RNA". From Rfam's summary of the family: Bacterial tmRNA, also known as 10Sa RNA or SsrA, is named for its dual tRNA and mRNA-like properties. Its role is to liberate the mRNA from a stalled ribosome. The record is from RNAcentral.